GCCGCUUUAGCUCAGUGGUAGAGCACUCGCCUUGUAAGCGAGCGGUCGUCGGUUCAAAUCCGACAAGCGGCUCCA
This 75-nucleotide transfer RNA is filed under the name Jonesia denitrificans. RNAcentral's name for it is "tRNA-Thr(tgt)". It matches the Rfam family "tRNA". From Rfam's summary of the family: Transfer RNA (tRNA) molecules are approximately 80 nucleotides in length. Their secondary structure includes four short double-helical elements and three loops (D, anti-codon, and T loops). Further hydrogen bonds mediate the characteristic L-shaped molecular structure. tRNAs have two regions of fundamental functional importance: the anti-codon, which is responsible for specific mRNA codon recognition, and the 3' end, to which the tRNAs corresponding amino acid is attached (by aminoacyl-tRNA synthetases). tRNAs cope with the degeneracy of the genetic code in two manners: having more than one tRNA (with a specific anti-codon) for a particular amino acid; and 'wobble' base-pairing, i.e. permitting non-standard base-pairing at the 3rd anti-codon position. The record is from RNAcentral. Lineage: Bacteria; Bacillati; Actinomycetota; Actinomycetes; Micrococcales; Jonesiaceae. RNAcentral also lists the same sequence under 1 other name.